CUCUGAGUCAACUGGCUAAAUUUUUACCUGUUAUCUGAAUGGUAAUACAUUCCGUCCUCUUAUCUUCUAUGAGAACCAAAUUAUUCUCUCUUGUUUAUAGACUCCUCUACAUACAUAUUAAGCUCACAUCACUCUUCCUGAGAAAAGUUGAUCACCCAAUUACUUAGUGAAGUAUAACAUCAUCCUUUGCUCCAUUUGCUGUGUUCCCACCCACACUGAAACAACUGACAGGACCAGUAGAAAACACCUAGCAGCAUGAAUAGAAACAAUACAGGACACCCAGUUACAGUUGAAUUUCAGACAACAUUAUCAGACUCUUCACAUCAUCCACUCUUCCAAACAGUAGCUGAUUUGAAUAACUGGGGAGAACGAAUAAUACAUGUGCUUGUAAACCCCAAAGGUUAUGAGAACCUCAUGGAAAACUCUUCGGUGAUUCAGUGUGAUCUCAUUUCCUCUCUUGUCUCAUGUAAAGAAGACAACAUAUGCUUCAGUGAAGUGCAGAGGAAAGAGGAGAGAAGAGAAAUAUUCACAUUCUGGGUUUAAUGAGAACGAAUCUUUUGCUUUCCCAGCAACUCUCAGGAUGGAUCCCACCUCACUAAUUUAAAGCCUGAGGCAAGAUUAUGAUAGUGGGAAAAAAUAUCGCUGUGCCUUACUGACAUGAUAUUAUCCUUUAAAGAAAUAUGUUCAAAAUACUUAAAAUCUGCUAAUUCUGAAAGCGUAGGUCAUAGAAAAUUGAACUCACUUUUCCCUUCCUUUCUCCCUGUUCAAGUCCCCAAGCUAUUGUGGAAAAACUGUACCACAUUCUAAAGUCUCUUUCAACUAUAAAAAGAAUACCCCAGAAAAUCUUCUCCAAAAACAUUUCUUCCAGCUGUCUCUGGGGUCUUGUGAAAUCAAAGGUAACUUUUAGCUCAUGAGUGGGCAACAAAACUUUGAAAUUCAUAUGUCCUUUUCCAGUGGGUUGGUUUGGGAAAUUUUGUGGUUUUCCUACCCUUGGGAUAAUCCUAGACCUGAAAAUAUUCUGUAUCAUAGUGGAGAAGAUAAAGAAAGAAAAGAAUCGUGAAAGGUACCACAUGUUGUUAACACCUUUUGUAGGUCAUGCCCUCUUGUGCUUUCACUUUUAAAUACAUUAUCUCAUGAAAUACUUAUGCUUACACUGUCAUGUACGUUAUACUAGCUCUAGUUUAAAAUGGAGCAAUCUGAGUGUUUGAGAGUCAAAUUUACUCAUCAAUGGUUAACUCAUCUUGUUAGUGACAGGGCCAAAACUCAAACCUAGCUGUAGAUGCUUCUGAACUGUGGUGACUUCCCAUGUUUCUGUGAUGAACAGUUAAUAUUCUAUCUAAAGAAAACAUAAUCAAGUAAGUGGAUCUGUG
Molecule: long non-coding RNA, 1370 nt
Filed under: Macaca mulatta (Rhesus monkey)
Lineage: Eukaryota; Metazoa; Chordata; Mammalia; Primates; Cercopithecidae
Description: lncRNA (ENSMMUG00000060396.1)
Source: RNAcentral